GCCAGCAGUCAUAUCUCCCUGCAACUCACAACUGACAACCCACUGAAGCUAAGCAGGUGUGAGCCUGGUCAGUACCUGGAUGGGAGACCUCCUGGGAAAAACUAAGGUUGCUGCUGGAA
RNAcentral lists this ribosomal RNA (119 nucleotides) under Lepisosteus oculatus (spotted gar). Lineage: Eukaryota; Metazoa; Chordata; Actinopteri; Semionotiformes; Lepisosteidae. The record is from RNAcentral.